Long non-coding RNA from Brassica napus (rape), 840 nucleotides. RefSeq lists it as uncharacterized. The transcript is spliced from 2 exons. The record is from RefSeq and is a predicted model, not a curated record. NCBI's taxonomy places the organism in Eukaryota, Viridiplantae, Streptophyta, Magnoliopsida, Brassicales, Brassicaceae.
AUGUGCAAUGACAUUAUAUGUAAUUUAUCUAGCAAAUGAAGGUCUUUUUAAAAAAUGGUAUGAGGAGGACUCUCAUGAUGACACCUAAGUAAUGACAAUUUUGUUAAUCACACAUUUGGUAAAGUUAAUAAAUAAAAGUGCUCCUCAAAUAAUAAUAAGGAGAUAUUUUUUCUAAUUUUAGGUGGUCAAGAUUUUCACAAAAUUGUAUAAAUACACCUAUCACAUCUAACUAAAAAAUCACAACCAAAAACCAUACUACAUAAAGCCAAUUAAAAAUAUGUGUAAUUCUGCUUUCAUAGUUUCUAUCGUUUUAAUGAUCAUUGUUUCUCCAACUUUUCAUGCUAAAACAGUGUGUAGCAUCACUUGUGCAAUGAUGAAACACAAAGUGAAACCUUGUUUACAAGGUGUCAGGCAACCAGGGGAGAAGCCAACAGAUUUUUGUUGUAAUGCUAUAUAUAGUCUAAACCUCAAAGCAACAACAACACAAGCUCGAAGAUAUCUCUGCCAGUGUUUUAAAGAUGCUAUAAAGUCAUAUCCAUAUAUAAAAAUUAUCGAUUUUCCUGCACUUUGUGAUGUUCCUCUAGCUAUUCCUUUUACACCAUCGAUAAAUUGUCAAGGAAUUACAUUUUGAACCGAAGAAGAAGAUGCAACGGGAAAAAAGUAGUAAUCUUCUCUAUUAAAAAAGAAGUAUCAGUUUUAUCUACUCUAAAAUAGUCAUACUAGAUUCAUAUAAUCAAUUACAUCUAUUUGAUUAUUUAUAUUAAUUUAUUAAAUAUAUAACAUUCCUAAAGUAUCAAAAUAAUUAGAAAGAUAUUAAUAAUAAAUCAAUUUUAACUGUAA